RNAcentral lists this long non-coding RNA (3387 nucleotides) under Salmo salar (Atlantic salmon). Its description in RNAcentral is "lncRNA (ENSSSAG00000102294.1)". The record is from RNAcentral. Lineage: Eukaryota; Metazoa; Chordata; Actinopteri; Salmoniformes; Salmonidae.
UGUAAAGAAAGUUUCCACUGUGACGUUAAUUAACAAGCCUUGUAUUUUCUCUGCGGAGGCGUCAGCAAUGGGGUCAGGGACGAAUACCUCUGCUCCACUGCAGUCAAGGGUCUGAAAAUAUUGACUGUUAAAAUCCUCUGCUCUUAAACUGGAUGGGCUGCUGGUGUUAGUUUAGUUGCUGGUGUUAGUUUAACUGCUGGUGGUGUUAGUUUAGCUGGUGGUGUUAGUUUAGCUGGUGGUGGUGUUAGUUUAGCUGGUGGUGGUGUUAGUUUAGCUGGUGGUGGUGUUAGUUUAGCUGGUGGUGGUGUUAGUUUAGCUGGUGGUGUUAGUUUAACUGGUGGUGGUGUUAGUUUAGCUGGUGGUGGUGUUAGUUUAGCUGGUGGUGGUGUUAGUUUAACUGGUGGUGGUGUUAGUUUAACUGGUGGUGGUUUUAGUUCAGCUGAUGGUGUUAGUUUAGCUGGUGGUGUUAGUUUAACUGGUGGUGGUGUUAGUUUAGCUGGUGGUGGUGUUAGUUUAGCUGGUGGUGGUGUUAGUUUAACUGGUGGUGGUGUUAGUUUAACUGGUGGUGGUGUUAGUUUAGCUGGUGGUGGUGUUAGUUUAACUGGUGGUGGUGUUAGUUUAGCUGGUGGUGGUGUUAGUUUAGCUGGUGGUGGUGUUAGUUUAACUGGUGGUGGUGUUAGUUUAACUGGUGGUGGUGUUAGUUUAACUGGUGAUGGUGUUAGUUUAACUGGUGGUGGUUUUAGUUUAACUGGUGGUGGUGUUAGUUUAGCUGGUGGUGGUGUUAGUUUAGCUGGUGGUGGUGUUAGUUUAGCUGAUGGUGUUAGUUUAGCUGGUGGUGUUAGUUUAGCUGGUGUUGUUAGUUUAGCUGGUGGUGUUAGUUUAACUGGUGGUGGUUUUAGUUCAGCUGAUGGUGUUAGUUUAGCUGGUGGUGUUAGUUUAGCUGGUGUUGUUAGUUUAGCUGGUGGUGUUAGUUUAGCAGGUGGUGGUGUUAGUUUAGCUGGUGGUGUUAGUUUAACUGAUGGUGGUGUUUGUUUAACUGAUGGUGGUGUUAGUUUAACUGGUGGUGGUGUUAGUUUAGCUGGUGGUGGUGUUAGUUUAGCUGGUGGUGGUGUUAGUUUAGCUGGUGGUGGUGUUAGUUUAGCUGGUGGUGGUGUUAGUUUAACUGGUGGUGGUGUUAGUUUAGCUGGUGGUGGUGUUAGUUUAACUGGUGGUGGUGUUAGUUUAGCUGGUGGUGGUGUUAGUUUAGCUGGUGGUGUUAGUUUAGCUGGUGGUGUUAGUUUAGCUGGUGGUGUUAGUUUAGCUGGUGGUGUUAGUUUAACUGGUGGUGGUGUUAGUUUAGCUGGUGGUGUUAGUUUAGCUGGUGGUGUUAGUUUAGCUGGUGGUGUUAGUUUAACUGGUGUUAGUUUAGCUGGUGGUGGUGUUAAUUUAACUGGUGUUGGUGUUAGUUUAGCUGUUGGUGGUGUUAGUUUAGCUGGUGGUGGUGGUAGUUUAGCUGGUGGUGUUAGUAUAGCUGGUGGUGGUGUUAGUUUAACUGGUGGUGGUGUUAGUUUAGCUGGUGGUGGUGUUAGUUUAGCUGGUGGUGUUAGUUUAGCUGGUGGUGGUGUUAGUUUAGCUGGUGGUGGUGUUAGUUUAACUGGUGGUGGUGUUAGUUUAACUGGUGGUGGUUUUAGUCAGCUGAUGGUGUUAGUUUAGCUGGUGGUGGUGGUGUUAGUUUAACUGGUGGUGGUGUUAGUUUAGCUGGUGGUGUUAUUAGUUUAGCUGGUGGUGUUAUUAGUUUAACUGGUGGUGGUGUUAGUUUAGCUGGUGGUGUUAGUUUAACUGGUGUUAGUUUAGCUGGUGGUGGUGUUAGUUUAGCUGGUGGUGGUGUUAGUUUAACUGCUGGUGGUGUUAGUUUAACUGGUGGUGGUGUUAGUUUAGCUGGUGGUGUUAGUUUUGCUGGUGGUGUUAGUUUAACUGGUGUUAGUUUAGCUGGUGGUGGUGUUAAUUUAACUGGUGUUGGUGUUAGUUUAGCUGUUGGUGGUGUUAGUUUAGCUGGUGGUGGUGGUAGUUUAGCUGGUGGUGUUAGUAUAGCUGGUGGUGGUGUUAGUUUAACUGGUGGUGGUGUUAGUUUAGCUGGUGGUGGUGUUAGUUUAGCUGGUGGUGUUAGUUUAGCUGGUGGUGGUGUUAGUUUAGCUGGUGGUGGUGUUAGUUUAACUGGUGGUGGUGUUAGUUUAACUGGUGGUGGUGUUAGUUUAACUGGUGGUGGUGUUAGUUUAACUGGUGGUGGUGUUAGUUUAACUGGUGGUGGUGUUAGUUUAGCUGGUGGUGUUAUUAGUUUAGCUGGUGGUGUUAUUAGUUUAACUGGUGGUGGUGUUAGUUUAGCUGGUGGUGCAGUUUGUUUAGCUGGUGGUGCAGUUUGUUUAGCUGGUGGUGUUAGUUUAGCUGGUGGUGUUAUUCAUUUAGCUGUUGUUAGUUUAGUAGUGGUCUACAUACAGUAAUGGGUGCCCAGUAGGCUGGUCAAAGUAGCUGGUGGUGUUAGUUUAACUGGUGGUGUUAGUUUAACUGGUGUUAGUUUAGCUGGUGGUGGUGUUAGUUCAGCUGGUGGUGGUGUUAGUUUAACUGGUGGUGGUGUUAGUUUAUCUGGUGGUGGUGUUAGUUUAGCUGCUGGUGGUGUUAGUUUAGCUGGUGGUGUUAUUAGUUUAGCUGGUGGUGUUAGUUUAACUGGUGGUGCAGUUUGUUUAGCUGGUGGUGCAGUUUGUUUAGCUGGUGGUGUUAGUUUAGCUGGUGGUGUUAGUUUAGCUGGUGGUGUUAGUUUAGCUGGUGGUGUUAGAUUAACUGGUGGUGGUGUUAGUUUAACUGGUGGUGGUGUUAGUUUAACUGGUGGUGUUAGUUUAGCUGGUGGUGUUAUUAGUUUAGCUGGUGGUGUUAGUUUAACUGCUGGUGGUGUUAGUUUAGCUGGUGGUGGUGUUUGUUUAGCUGGUGGCGGUGUUAGUUUAGCUGGUGGUGGUGUUAGUUUAGCUGGUGGUGUUAGUUUAGCUGGUGGUGGUGUUAGUUUAGCUGGUGGUUGUGUUAGUUUAGCUGGUGGUGUUAGUUUAGCUGGUGGUGGUGUUAGUUUAGCAGGUGGUUGUGUUAGUUUAGCUGGUGGUGGUGUUAGUUUAACUGGUGGUGUUAGUUUAGCUGGUGGUGGUGUUAGUUUAACUGCUGGUGGUGUUAGUUUAACUGGUGGUGGUGUUAGUUUAGCUGGUGGUGGUGUUAGUUUAGCUGGUGGUGUUAGUUUAGCUGGUGGUGGUGUUAGUUUAGCUGGUGGUGGUGUUAGUUUAACUGGUGGUGCAGUUUGUUUAGCUGGUGGUGCAGUUUGUUUAGCUGGUGGUGUUAGUUUAGCUGGUGGUGUUAUUAGUUUAGCUGGUG